This 511-nucleotide long non-coding RNA is filed under the name Homarus americanus (American lobster). Its description in RNAcentral is "uncharacterized LOC121857053, transcript variant X3". The record is from RNAcentral. Lineage: Eukaryota; Metazoa; Arthropoda; Malacostraca; Decapoda; Nephropidae.
ACCUUGAGCAAGACUUAACACCCAGCAUGUUACUUCAGCCUCAUCAGUUAAGCUGGCCAGAAGUAACAUCAUACUGAACCUAAGGAGAAAUAACUUAAAAUGCCAGAACAGGUGACAGCUGACAUCCGUGAAUGCCAAUGUAGAGGAAGUGACCGACACCUUGAGCAAGAUGUAACACCCAGCAUGUUACUUCAGCCUUCUUAGGUGGUUGGUGUACAAGAUAGAAGGACCAGACACAACAAGGUGACCACGACUGUCUAGCAUCCCACACCCUGAUGACUUCCACCUUACUAAGAAAGAACAGAAUUGGUGUUCUGUACACUACUGCAAGAAUAGUGUACUGUAAUGUAAAAGUUAAGUAUUACUGAAACCUUUUUUUAUAUAAUUUAGCAAAACUUGAUAUAUUACUUCAAAUGGUGCAUUUAAGAACAUACAGUACAAGUAAACCUCAAUAUUGUGUAUUGAUAGGGAUAUAAAAUAGCUUAAUUAAUUCAGACGUAGAGUAUCUAAA